AACAAACACUCAAAACUGCCUUAAAAACACUUUCUGCGCAGUUUUUGACACCAAGGAAGAAUUUGGACGAAAAUUGGUUAUAACUUGACUCAAGACACUUAAAAACACAAACUAAAUUGAUUUCUAACUAAUAUGACUCAACAAAGUAAAGGGGGAUUGAUUUUGGACGAAUUUAAAAACAAAACAAGUAAACUAAACUAAACAGAUUUUAAAAUGAAAUUGGUUAAAGUGAAUGGAUGGAAGGCUAGCUAAGGGGUUCUUCUCCACACAUGUCACACUUGCAUACAAAACGAUUUCCAAUUGCUUCUCAAUAAACCAUGAAUUCUCAACGCCCCAAGUUAAUUAGGUCCGCUUAAAUUAACCCUUAGAUUUUCCUUAAGUUAUUGAAUUGGAUGAAUUACAUACGACAACCCAAAGCAUUCCCCACAAGUUCCCUACAUGAAAGCGCAUAAUAGAGACACAUGCAAGAAUCAUUAAGUUCUAUGAAAACCAUAAGCAUUGACGAGGCACUUGUUACUAUGAAUUGCAUGAAACUUAUGCCAAGAAUUUACUUAACACGAUUGUGAUCAACAACCUUUACUACUUGUGAAUAUAAGUUCAUAACAAUUAAUUGAAAUUCCCUUAUAUCCUAGCAUCAAAUUCAUGCAUGUAAACGAAGCAGGCCCUCUUAACCAACAUACACAAACCAGUUUUAAUUCAUAUAGAUAAGUAAAUUGAAUUCACAACUUAUGAAAUGCAAUUAGAACUAAUCAAAUCAUAUAGCAAGCAUAAACAUGGUUUUGAAUCCCCCCUAGCCAAGGGGGGGUUUAGUUCCUCAUAUGCACAAAGCAAAGAUAAAUAAGUUUAAACAUUGAAAUCCAAAGAAAGAAAACACCUAGAUACUCCAACUUGGACAGCAAGUGCAUCCACGAAGUUCCUUCCUUUCUCCUUGCUGCGGCACAAAGGUUGUAGACAGGUUUUGGGGUUAUGAAUGGUAUAGAAUGGAUGGGGGAUGUGUGGUGGUGUCUAGGAUUGAUGGGUGGUGCGGCUAGGGAUGAUUUUGGGCAGAAAUUAUGGAAUAUGGUGGUGGAAAGGUGCGGCAGAAAGCAAGGGAUGAUUUCUGGCAUGAAUUGAUGUGUAUGAGAGGUGGUAAUUCGGCCAAAGGGUUAAUAUGAGUAUAUAUAGGCACUUAAAACCCUAAGGGAAUCAGAUAUGGAUUUCUAGAAUCCAAAUCCACAAGGAAAAAGGCUAAGAAAUCAGAAUCCUCAAGGGAAAAGGGCAAGGAGGUGCGGCUGGAGAGGGAAUGAAGGAUAAGGCUUCUAAAAAGCCUUGCAAGGCAAGGAAAAUAGGUCAUCUAGAAGGAAUUGGUGCGGCACCUUAUGGGGAGUGUUCUAGAACCUUCUUUUGUCUCAAAAAAUGCUUAGGAAACCUUCAAAAUAUCUGGAACUUAAGGCCAUCUAGGUUUAGGAAAGUUCAACCCAAAAUAGGAAACUUUUAGGCUUAACUUUCCUACUUCAAGUAGGAAACCUUGUUUGAGUAAGAAUCUUCAUUCUUCUAGGAAUCCAUCUUCAACUAGGAAUCCCUCGUUGAUUAGGAAUCCUUCUUCAAUUAGAACUCCUUCGUUGAUUAGGAAUCCUUCUUGGACUAGGAAUCCUCAAAUCUUCAAUUUCGUCUAAACCUUUUGUUCCAAGCAUGUGCUAUUCACUCUAAGCUCACUUUUGCUCCAAAAAGCUCCAAUUUGCAUCAUUUUGUAUAAUAUGCCUUUAAAACCUGAAAACACAUGAAAAUAGCUUAAAAGACUACUUUAACUAAGAAAACAUAACGAAAAUGCAUAAGAACUAGCUAACUAAGGCGCAUAAGUAUGCUCCUAUCACAACCAAGCAAAGAAUAAUGAGAUCAUGCAAUGACUUUAGAAAACAAUGAUGCAUAGAUUAUUAACUUUCCAAAUAAACGUUUAGGCUCAAGUCUCAUAAGGUUGUAGCGUACAUUUGAGUUCCUUCUUUCAAGCAUGUUACAAAA
Molecule: long non-coding RNA, 1998 nt
Filed under: Malus domestica (apple)
Lineage: Eukaryota; Viridiplantae; Streptophyta; Magnoliopsida; Rosales; Rosaceae
Description: long non-coding RNA (MDOM_LNC003044)
Source: RNAcentral